Molecule: ribosomal RNA, 465 nt
Filed under: Vreelandella stevensii
Lineage: Bacteria; Pseudomonadati; Pseudomonadota; Gammaproteobacteria; Oceanospirillales; Halomonadaceae
Description: partial 16S ribosomal RNA
Rfam family: Bacterial small subunit ribosomal RNA
Source: RNAcentral
CCUACGGGGGGCUGCAGUGGGGAAUAUUGGACAAUGGGGGGAACCCUGAUCCAGCCAUGCCGCGUGUGUGAAGAAGGCCCUCGGGUUGUAAAGCACUUUCAGUGAGGAAGAACGCCUGGUGGUUAAUACCCAUCAGGAAAGACAUCACUCACAGAAGAAGCACCGGCUAACUCCGUGCCAGCAGCCGCGGUAAUACGGAGGGUGCGAGCGUUAAUCGGAAUUACUGGGCGUAAAGCGCGCGUAGGUGGCUUGAUAAGCCGGUUGUGAAAGCCCCGGGCUCAACCUGGGAACGGCAUCCGGAACUGUCAAGCUAGAGUGCAGGAGAGGAAGGUAGAAUUCCCGGUGUAGCGGUGAAAUGCGUAGAGAUCGGGAGGAAUACCAGUGGCGAAGGCGGCCUUCUGGACUGACACUGACGCUGAGGUGCGAAAGCGUGGGUAGCAAACAGGAUUAGAUACCCUGGUAGUC